GGUCACUGCUAUUGGAGUUCGAUUAAGCCAUGCGAGUCGAGAGGGGUUAAGCCCUCGGCAGACUGCUCAGUAACACGUGGGUAAUCUACCCUCGGGUCAGGGAUAAUCCCGGGAAACUGGGAAUAAUACCUGAUAGGUGAAGAUGUCUGGAACGAUACUUCGCCCAAAGCCCCGGCGCCCGAGGAUGAGCCUGCGCCCGAUUAGGUUGUUGGCGGUGUAAAGGACCACCAAGCCCGUGAUCGGUACGGGUGUUGAGAGACAUAGCCCGGAGAUGGGGGCUGAGACACGGCCCCAGGCCCUACGGGGCGCAGCAGGCGCGAAAACUACGCAAUGCGCGAAAGCGUGACGUGGGAACUCCAAGUGCCCUGCCUUCGGGUAGGGCUUUUGUUUAGUGUAAGUAGCUAAACGAAUAAGUGCUGGGUAAGACCGGUGCCAGCCGCCGCGGUAACACCGGCAGCGCAAGUGGUGACCGCUUUUAUUGGGCCUAAAGCGUUCGUAGCCGGUCUGGUAAGUCUUUGGGUAAAUCCUCAGGCUCAACCUGAGGAAUUCCAAAGAUACUGUCAGACUUGGAGUUGAGAGAGGUUAGAGGUACCUCCGGGGUAGGGGUGAAAUCCUAUAAUCCUGGGGGGACCACCAGUGGCGAAGGCGUCUAACUAGAGCAAGCUCGACGGUGAGGGACGAAAGCCAGGGGCGCGAACGGGAUUAGAUACCCCGGUAGUCCUGGCCGUAAACGCUGCGCGCUAGGUGUUGCAUGCUCUACGAGGGCGUGCAGUGCCGAAGAGAAGUUGAUAAGCGUGCCGCCUGGGAAGUAUUACCGCAAGGUAGAAACUUAAAGGAAUUGGCGGGGGAGCACCACAAGGGGUGGAGUCUGCGGUUCAAUUGGAUUCAACGCCAGAAAUCUUACCCGAAGAGACAGCAGAAUGAAGGUCAAGCUGGAGACUUUACCAGACAAGCUGAGAAGUGGUGCAUGGCCGUCGCCAGCUCGUGCCGUGAGAUGUCCUGUUAAGUCAGGUAACGAGCGAGAUCCCUGCCUCUAGUUGCCACCAUUACUCUCAGGAGUAGCGGGGCGAAUUAGCGGGACCGCCGCAGUUAAUGCGGAGGAAGGAAGGGGCCACGGCAGGUCAGUAUGCCCUGAAACUUUGGGGCCACACGCGGGCUGCAAUGGUAGUGACAAUGGGUUCCGAAUCCGAAAGGUGGAGGUAAUCCUCAAACGCUACCACAGUUAUGAUUGAGGGCUGCAACUCGUCCUCAUGAAUAUGGAAUCCCUAGUAACUGCGUGUCAUUACCGCGCAGUGAAUACGUCCCUGCUCCU
This 1312-nucleotide ribosomal RNA is filed under the name uncultured archaeon. RNAcentral describes it as "bacterial SSU rRNA". It matches the Rfam family "Archaeal small subunit ribosomal RNA", at positions 21 to 1337 of the family's 1478-position model. The record is from RNAcentral.